GAGGAAAAGAAACUAACAAGGAUUCCCCUAGUAACUGCGAGUGAAGCGGGAAAAGCUCAAAUUUAAAAUCUGUCAGUCUUUGGCUGUCCGAGUUGUAAUCUAGAGAAGUGUUAUCCGCGCUGGCCCGUGUACAAGUCUCCUGGAAUGGAGCGUCAUAGAGGGUGAGAAUCCCGUCUCUGACACGGACUACCAGGGCUUUGUGAUGCGCUCUCAAAGAGUCGAGUUGUUUGGGAAUGCAGCUCAAAAUGGGUGGUAAAUUCCAUCUAAAGCUAAAUAUUGGCGAGAGACCGAUAGCGAACAAGUACCGUGAGGGAAAGAUGAAAAGAACUUUGGAAAGAGAGUUAAACAGUACGUGAAAUUGCUGAAAGGGAAACGCUUGAAGUCAGUCGCGUUGUCCAGGGAUCAACCUUGCUUUUGCUUGGUGUACUUUCUGGUUAACGGGUCAGCAUCAAUUUUGAUCAUUGGAAAAAGGUUAGGGGAAUGUGGCAUCCUUGGAUGUGUUAUAGCCCUUGAUUGCAUACAAUGGUUGGGAUUGAGGAACUCAGCACGCCGCAAGGCCGGGUUUUUAACCACGUACGUGCUUAGGAUGCUGGCAUAAUGGCUUUAAUCGACCCGUCUUGAAACACGGACCAAGGAGUCUAACAUGCCUGCGAGUGUUUGGGUGAAAAACCCGAGCGCGUAAUGAAAGUGAAAGUUGAGAUCCCUGUCGUGGGGAGCAUCGACGCCCGGACCAGACCUUUUGUGACGGUUCCGCGGUAGAGCAUGUAUGUUGGGACCCGAAAGAUGGUGAACUAUGCCUGAAUAGGGUGAAGCCAGAGGAAACUCUGGUGGAGGCUCGUAGCGAUUCUGACGUGCAAAUCGAUCGUCAAAUUUGGGUAUAGGGGGCGAAAGACUAAUCGAACCAUCUAGU
RNAcentral lists this ribosomal RNA (910 nucleotides) under Cortinarius sp. MEL 2363160. RNAcentral's name for it is "LSU rRNA". It matches the Rfam family "Eukaryotic large subunit ribosomal RNA", at positions 53 to 948 of the family's 3401-position model. The record is from RNAcentral. Lineage: Eukaryota; Fungi; Basidiomycota; Agaricomycetes; Agaricales; Cortinariaceae.